Molecule: ribosomal RNA, 494 nt
Filed under: uncultured bacterium
Lineage: Bacteria
Description: partial 16S ribosomal RNA
Rfam family: Bacterial small subunit ribosomal RNA
Source: RNAcentral
GACGAACGCUGGCGGCGUGCUUAACACAUGCAAGUCGAACGGUGAAGCGCCUUCCUUUUUGGUGGGUGUGGAUGAGUGGCGAACGGGUGAGUAACACGUGAGUAACCUGCCCCCUUCUUCUGGAUAACCGCAUGAAAGUGUGGCUAAUACGGGAUAUUCUGGGUCUGUCGCAUGAUGGGUCUGGGAAAGAUAUUGUUUCGGUGGGGGAUGGGCUCGCGGCCUAUCAGCUUGUUGGUGGGGUGAUGGCCUACCAAGGCGGUGACGGGUAGCCGGCCUGAGAGGGUGGACGGUCACACUGGGAGUGAGACACGGGCCAGACUCCUACGGGAGGCAGCAGUGGGGAAUAUUGCACGAUGGGCGCAAGCCUGAUGCAGCGACGCCGCGUGAGGGAUGGAGGCCUUCGGGUUGUGAACCUCUUUCGCCAGUGAAGCAGGCCUGCCUCGUUUGUGGGUGGGUUGACGGUAGCUGGAUAAGAAGCGCCGGCUAACUACGUG